Non-coding RNA from Zootermopsis nevadensis, 278 nucleotides. The record is from RefSeq and is a predicted model, not a curated record. NCBI's taxonomy places the organism in Eukaryota, Metazoa, Arthropoda, Insecta, Blattodea, Termopsidae.
CUAUGGAUCAAGCUAAAGAACCAGUGAAGACUCCGAUGGUGUACACAUGUGGUGGUAAUGAUUGUCAUUUUCUCAAACUGUGACCUGCAGUUUUGGGGUUCCAUGACUCCAGAGUGGAUUACAGUGGUAGCAGACUCAGAAAUGCCAUCAUGAAAAUGAAAUUAGACCUCGAGAUCCAAUACGAUGUCGAGAAUGUGGGUACCGUAUUAUGUACAAGAAGAGGACAAAGAGAUUGGUUGUGUUUGAUGCCCGUUGAUUAUAAGGAGCAGUGAGGAGAG